AUACUAGUUAAACUAGUUUAAACUAGGUUUAAACCUAGAAACUUGCUAAGAUAGAAUAUUACUUGCAAUGUGGGUUGCUGUGGCACGGGAGAAGGCUCGGUGGGUCGACAGCGAUCGGCGGCGGCGACGACGGCUGGGGCGGCGGCGACUGGCGGCGGCGAUGACGGGGUGUGGCUUUUGGUCGGAGAGGGAUGGGCAGAGAGGGAGAGAGAGACAGAGAGAUAAGAGAGAACGAGAGCAAAGAGUGAGGGAGAGGUGUCGGGGUGUCGGGUAUACCUAGGUAAGACGGUGAAUUGUUCACCGUCUUCAUUAGGCACAUGGAGACGGUGAAUCGUUCACCGUCUUACCUCGGCCCACCUCCUGGGGGUUAACAAUAAAGAAGGUGAAUAGUUCACCGUCUUUAGUGCAGCACAAAUAAGACGGUAAACUAUUCACCGUCUUAUCUGUGUUUUAUGUCUCCAGGACUUGGCCAAAGUUGGGGGGUGUGGGGGGAUAAUGUACCGUUCUUAGGUAAGACGGUGAAUUGUUUACC
RNAcentral lists this long non-coding RNA (532 nucleotides) under Ananas comosus (pineapple). Its description in RNAcentral is "long non-coding RNA (ACOM_LNC012169)". The record is from RNAcentral. Lineage: Eukaryota; Viridiplantae; Streptophyta; Magnoliopsida; Poales; Bromeliaceae.